UGGGCUUAAAGUGUCCGUAGCCGGUUUCGUAAGCUCCUGGUAAAAUCGGGUAGCUUAACUAUUCGUAUGCUAGGAAUACUGCGGUACUAGAGGGCGGGAGAGGUCUGAGGUACUACAGGGGUAGGGGUGAAAUCUUAUAAUCCUUGUAGGACCACCAGUGGCGAAAGCGUCAGACUGGAACGCGCCUGACGGUGAGGGACGAAAGCCAGGGGAGCGAACCGGAUUAGAUACCCGGGUAGUCCUGGCCGUAAACGAUGCGCACUAGGUGAUGGUGCGGCUAUGAGCCGCAUCAGUGUCGUAGGGAAACCGUUAAGUGUGCCGCCUGGGAAGUACGGUCGCAAGGCUUAGACUUAAAGGAAUUGGCGGGGGAGCACCACAAGGGGUGAAGCCUGCGGUUCAAUUGGACUCAACGCCGGGCAACUUACCAGGGGAGACAGCAGAAUGAGGGUCAGGUUGACGUCCUUACCUGACAAGCUGAGAGGAGGU
Molecule: ribosomal RNA, 486 nt
Filed under: uncultured Thermococci archaeon
Lineage: Archaea; Methanobacteriati; Methanobacteriota; Thermococci
Description: bacterial SSU rRNA
Rfam family: Archaeal small subunit ribosomal RNA
Source: RNAcentral